RNAcentral lists this unclassified non-coding RNA (158 nucleotides) under uncultured Hypocreales. Its description in RNAcentral is "sequence contains ITS1". Lineage: Eukaryota; Fungi; Ascomycota; Sordariomycetes; Hypocreales. The record is from RNAcentral.
ACAGGGUUUGAAGCCGAAAGGCGGACCUCCCUACCGUGUAUAAACUACCUUUGUUGCUUUGGCGGGGCGUCUCGCGACCAGCGGCUCCGGCUGCUGCGCCCCCGCCAGAGGACCACAACUCUUGUUUUUAGUGAUGUCUGAGUACUAUCUAAUAGUUA